This 252-nucleotide long non-coding RNA is filed under the name Elaeis guineensis (African oil palm). RNAcentral describes it as "long non-coding RNA (EGUI_LNC047679)". Lineage: Eukaryota; Viridiplantae; Streptophyta; Magnoliopsida; Arecales; Arecaceae. The record is from RNAcentral.
GCCAACUCAAUCUCCGCAUCAGGAAAAAUAAUACAUUCAGCAAAUCAUAACUAUAAAUAAGCAAUUUUCUCCUCUGUAAGUCUCCCAUUUGUACCUUCUCCUGCCUUGGAUCACAUCAACCCAGCUUCUCUCGCUCUCUCCAUCCAUUUUAGCAACCCGAGUUCCCUCUUGGGUAUUUGCCAUAAAACCAUCAGGAAUCACCAAUGCCUUGCCCUUCAUUCUUCGGGUCCCCAUCACACAAUUGCCCUUGAU